RNAcentral lists this ribosomal RNA (509 nucleotides) under Fusarium culmorum. RNAcentral describes it as "eukaryotic LSU rRNA". The stretch from base 154 to 307 matches the Rfam family "5.8S ribosomal RNA". Lineage: Eukaryota; Fungi; Ascomycota; Sordariomycetes; Hypocreales; Nectriaceae. The record is from RNAcentral.
CAUUACCGAGUUUACAACUCCCAAACCCCUGUGAACAUACCUUAUGUUGCCUCGGCGGAUCAGCCCGCGCCCCGUAAAAAGGGACGGCCCGCCGCAGGAACCUUAAACUCUGUUUUUAGUGGAACUUCUGAGUAUAAAAAACAAAUAAAUCAAAACUUUCAACAACGGAUCUCUUGGUUCUGGCAUCGAUGAAGAACGCAGCAAAAUGCGAUAAGUAAUGUGAAUUGCAGAAUUCAGUGAAUCAUCGAAUCUUUGAACGCACAUUGCGCCCGCCAGUAUUCUGGCGGGCAUGCCUGUUCGAGCGUCAUUUCAACCCUCAAGCCCAGCUUGGUGUUGGGAGCUGCAGUCCUGCUGCACUCCCCAAAUACAUUGGCGGUCACGUCGAGCUUCCAUAGCGUAGUAAUUUACAUAUCGUUACUGGUAAUCGUCGCGGCCACGCCGUUAAACCCCAACUUCUGAAUGUUGACCUCGGAUCAGGUAGGAAUACCCGCUGAACUUAAGCAUAUCAA